UACGAAGGGGGCUAGCGUUGUUCGGAAUCACUGGGCGUAAAGCGCGCGUAGGCGGAUUGUUAAGUCGGGGGUGAAAUCCUGAGGCUCAACCUCAGAACUGCCUUCGAUACUGGCGAUCUUGAGUCCGGGAGAGGUGAGUGGAACUCCUAGUGUAGAGGUGAAAUUCGUAGAUAUUAGGAAGAACACCAGUGGCGAAGGCGGCUCACUGGCCCGGUACUGACGCUGAUGUGCGACAGCGUGGGGAGCAAACAGG
RNAcentral lists this ribosomal RNA (253 nucleotides) under uncultured bacterium. RNAcentral describes it as "partial 16S ribosomal RNA". It matches the Rfam family "Bacterial small subunit ribosomal RNA", at positions 524 to 776 of the family's 1533-position model. The record is from RNAcentral.